This 305-nucleotide ribosomal RNA is filed under the name uncultured bacterium. RNAcentral describes it as "bacterial SSU rRNA". It matches the Rfam family "Bacterial small subunit ribosomal RNA", at positions 335 to 639 of the family's 1533-position model. The record is from RNAcentral.
UUCCUCCGGGCCGCCGCCGUGCGGCCUCUUGGUCCCUGGGCGGGCGCCUGCCCCCGCCCCGCCGCGUGCGGGCUGCCUGUACAGAGUAUCGUAAACCUCUUUUGUCAGGGAACAAAGGCGGGGACGUGUCCCCGGAUGAGUGUACCUGAAGAAAAAGCAUCGGCUAACUCCGCGCCAGCAGCCGCGGUAAUACGGAGGAUGCGAGCGUUAUCCGGAUUUAUUGGGUUUAAAGGGUGCGCAGGCGGUCUGUUAAGUCAGCGGUCAAAGCCCGGGGCUCAACCCAUGCCCGCCGGUGAAACUGGCAG